GUGGGGAAUAUUGGACAAUGGGGGGAACCCUGAUCCAGCCAUGCCGCGUGUGUGAAGAAGGCCUUUUGGUUGUAAAGCACUUUAAGCGAGGAGGAGGCUACCGAGAUUAAUACUCUUGGAUAGUGGACGUUACUCGCAGAAUAAGCACCGGCUAACUCUGUGCCAGCAGCCGCGGUAAUACAGAGGGUGCAAGCGUUAAUCGGAUUUACUGGGCUUAAAGCGCGCGUAGGUGGCCAAUUAAGUCAAAUGUGAAAUCCCCGAGCUUAACUUGGGAAUUGCAUUCGAUACUGGUUGGCUAGAGUAUGGGAGAGGAUGGUAGAAUUCCAGGUGUAGCGGUGAAAUGCGUAGAGAUCUGGAGGAAUACCGAUGGCGAAGGCAGCCAUCUGGCCUAAUACUGACACUGAGGUGCGAAAGCAUGGGGAGCAAACAGGAUUAGAAACCCUUGUAGUCC
RNAcentral lists this ribosomal RNA (451 nucleotides) under uncultured bacterium. RNAcentral's name for it is "partial 16S ribosomal RNA". It matches the Rfam family "Bacterial small subunit ribosomal RNA", at positions 354 to 796 of the family's 1533-position model. The record is from RNAcentral.